Long non-coding RNA from Oncorhynchus tshawytscha (Chinook salmon), 485 nucleotides. The record is from Ensembl. Lineage: Eukaryota; Metazoa; Chordata; Actinopteri; Salmoniformes; Salmonidae.
GGGGAGAGGAGAGAGACAGGGGAGAGGAGAGAGACAGAGGAGAGGAGUGAGACGGAGGAGAGGAGAGAGACGGAGGAGAGGAGAGAGAUGGAGGAGAGGUGAGAGACGGGGGGGAGAGGAGAGAGACAGGGGAGAGGAGAGAGACAGAGGAGAGGUGAGAGACGGAGGAGAGGAGAGAGACGGAGGAGAGUAGAGAGAUGGAGGAGAGGAGAGAGAGAGGAGAGGAGAGAGAUGGAGGAGAGGAGAGGAGAGAGACGGGGGGAGAGGAGAGAGACGGGGGAGAGGAGAGAGACGGAGGAGAGGUGAGAGACGGAGGAGAGGAGAGAGACGGGGGAGAGGAGAGAGAGAGAGAGACGACGGAGAGGAGAGAGAUGGAGGAGAGGAGAGAGACGGAGGAGAGGAGAGAGACGGAGGAGAGGAGAGAGACGGAGGAGAGGAGAGAGACUGAGGAGAGGAGAGAGACUGAGGAGAGGAGAGAGACGGGG